Molecule: signal recognition particle RNA, 265 nt
Filed under: Numidum massiliense
Lineage: Bacteria; Bacillati; Bacillota; Bacilli; Caryophanales; Bacillaceae
Description: Bacterial large signal recognition particle RNA
Rfam family: Bacterial large signal recognition particle RNA
About the family: The signal recognition particle (SRP) is a universally conserved ribonucleoprotein involved in the co-translational targeting of proteins to membranes. Archaeal SRP consists of a 7S RNA and homologues of the eukaryotic SRP19 and SRP54 proteins.
Source: RNAcentral
CCGUACUAGACGGGGAGGUAGCGGUGCCCUGUACCCGCAAUCCGCUGUAGCGGGGUCGAAUUCCUGUUUGCGGCUAUACGUUUGUCGAGGUCUGGUUCGAAUAAGUGGUGUUGACAGUCGGGUCCUGCGCAACGGAAUUUCAUGAACCCCGUCAGGUCCGGAAGGAAGCAGCGGUAAGUGAAUCCUUUCGUGUGCCGCAGGGUGGCCCGAUUCGAGCUAACUGUUCGGAUACGCUCGGUGAGCGUUAGUCAAGGGCGGGUGUACG